UAAAAAUUAAGAAAUGAAACUUUUAUUAAAACAUUUCUUACAUACCAUUAUAUUGGCUGGGCUGCAAAAAUAUUCAUUAUGGACUGCAUGCAGCCUGUGGGCCACGAGUUUAGCAUGUUUGCUCUAAUGUUUGGUUUUUCAGAACGA
Molecule: long non-coding RNA, 147 nt
Organism: Pipistrellus kuhlii (Kuhl's pipistrelle)
Lineage: Eukaryota; Metazoa; Chordata; Mammalia; Chiroptera; Vespertilionidae
Exons: 3
Source: RefSeq, a predicted model, not a curated record